CAGCCGCCGCGGUAAAACGUAGGGGGCAAACGUUAUCCGGAAUUACUGGGUGUAAAGGGAGCGUAGACGGUUAAACAAGUCUGAAGUGAAAUGCCGGGGCUCAACCCCGGAGCUGCUUUGGGAACUGUAGAACUGGAGUGUCGGAGGGGUAAGCGGAAUUCCCAGUGUAGCGGUGAAAUGCGUAGAUAUUGGGAGGAACACCGGCGGCGAAGGCGGCUUACUGGACGACAACUGACGUUGAGGCUCGAAGGCGUGGGUAGCAAACAGGAUUAGAUACCCCUGUAGUCCCUGUCUCUUAUAC
RNAcentral lists this ribosomal RNA (301 nucleotides) under uncultured bacterium. RNAcentral describes it as "partial 16S ribosomal RNA". It matches the Rfam family "Bacterial small subunit ribosomal RNA", at positions 509 to 807 of the family's 1533-position model. The record is from RNAcentral.